AGUGGCGACCGGGUGAGUAACACGUGACUAACCUGCCUGAGUGGGGGAUAACCUCGGGAAACCGGGGCUAAUACCGCAUAACAUCGCAAGAUCAAAGGAGCAAUCCGCUGAAGGAGGGGGUCGCGGCUGAUUAGUUAGUUGGUGAGGUAACGGCUCACCAAGACGAAGAUCAGUAGCCGGCCUGAGAGGGCGCACGGCCACACUGGAACUGAAACACGGUCCAGACUCCUACGGGAGGCAGCAGUGGGGAAUUUUGCGCAAUGGGGGAAACCCUGACGCAGCAACGCCGCGUGGAGGAUGAAGUCCCUUGGGAUGUAAACUCCUUUCGAUCGGGACGAUAAUGACGGUACCGGAAGAAGAAGCACCGGCUAACUCUGUGCCAGCAGCCGCGGUAAUACAGAGGGUGCGAGCGUUGUUCGGAAUUAUUGGGCGUAAAGGGCGUGUAGGCGGUGCGGUAAGACUGUGGUGAAAUCUCCGGGCUCAACUCGGAAAUUGCCGCGGU
This 502-nucleotide ribosomal RNA is filed under the name uncultured bacterium. RNAcentral describes it as "bacterial SSU rRNA". It matches the Rfam family "Bacterial small subunit ribosomal RNA", at positions 94 to 630 of the family's 1533-position model. The record is from RNAcentral.